UACGUAGGGGCUAGCGUUAUCCGGAAUUACUGGGCGUAAAGCGUGCGCAGGCGGUUUGCUAAGACAGGUGUGAAAUCCCCGGGCUUAACCUGGGAACUGCGCUUGUGACUGGCAGGCUAGAGUACGGUAGAGGGGGUGGAAUUCCUGGUGUAGCAGUGAAAUGCGUAGAUAUCAGGAGGAACACCGAUGGCGAAGGCAGCACCCUGGGCCUGUACUGACGCUCAUGCACGAAAGCGUGGGGAGCAAACAGGAUUAGAUACCCCCGUA
This 267-nucleotide ribosomal RNA is filed under the name uncultured prokaryote. RNAcentral describes it as "partial 16S ribosomal RNA". It matches the Rfam family "Bacterial small subunit ribosomal RNA", at positions 524 to 792 of the family's 1533-position model. The record is from RNAcentral.